Molecule: ribosomal RNA, 1319 nt
Filed under: Bacillus altitudinis
Lineage: Bacteria; Bacillati; Bacillota; Bacilli; Caryophanales; Bacillaceae
Description: bacterial SSU rRNA
Rfam family: Bacterial small subunit ribosomal RNA
Source: RNAcentral
CUCAGGACGAACGCUGGCGGCGUGCCUAAUACAUGCAAGUCGAGCGGACAGAAGGGAGCUUGCUCCCGGAUGUUAGCGGCGGACGGGUGAGUAACACGUGGGUAACCUGCCUGUAAGACUGGGAUAACUCCGGGAAACCGGAGCUAAUACCGGAUAGUUCCUUGAACCGCAUGGUUCAAGGAUGAAAGACGGUUUCGGCUGUCACUUACAGAUGGACCCGCGGCGCAUUAGCUAGUUGGUGAGGUAACGGCUCACCAAGGCGACGAUGCGUAGCCGACCUGAGAGGGUGAUCGGCCACACUGGGACUGAGACACGGCCCAGACUCCUACGGGAGGCAGCAGUAGGGAAUCUUCCGCAAUGGACGAAAGUCUGACGGAGCAACGCCGCGUGAGUGAUGAAGGUUUUCGGAUCGUAAAGCUCUGUUGUUAGGGAAGAACAAGUAGCAAGAGUAACUGCUUAGCACCUUGACGGUACCUAACCAGAAAGCCACGGCUAACUACGUGCCAGCAGCCGCGGUAAUACGUAGGUGGCAAGCGUUGUCCGGAAUUAUUGGGCGUAAAGGGCUCGCAGGCGGUUUCUUAAGUCUGAUGUGAAAGCCCCCGGCUCAACCGGGGAGGGUCAUUGGAAACUGGGAAACUUGAGUGCAGAAGAGGAGAGUGGAAUUCCACGUGUAGCGGUGAAAUGCGUAGAGAUGUGGAGGAACACCAGUGGCGAAGGCGACUCUCUGGUCUGUAACUGACGCUGAGGAGCGAAAGCGUGGGGAGCGAACAGGAUUAGAUACCCUGGUAGUCCACGCCGUAAACGAUGAGUGCUAAGUGUUAGGGGGUUUCCGCCCCUUAGUGCUGCAGCUAACGCAUUAAGCACUCCGCCUGGGGAGUACGGUCGCAAGACUGAAACUCAAAGGAAUUGACGGGGGCCCGCACAAGCGGUGGAGCAUGUGGUUUAAUUCGAAGCAACGCGAAGAACCUUACCAGGUCUUGACAUCCUCUGACAACCCUAGAGAUAGGGCUUUCCCUUCGGGGACAGAGUGACAGGUGGUGCAUGGUUGUCGUCAGCUCGUGUCGUGAGAUGUUGGGUUAAGUCCCGCAACGAGCGCAACCCUUGAUCUUAGUUGCCAGCAUUUAGUUGGGCACUCUAAGGUGACUGCCGGUGACAAACCGGAGGAAGGUGGGGAUGACGUCAAAUCAUCAUGCCCCUUAUGACCUGGGCUACACACGUGCUACAAUGGACAGAACAAAGGGCUGCGAGACCGCAAGGUUUAGCCAAUCCCACAAAUCUGUUCUCAGUUCGGAUCGCAGUCUGCAACUCGACUGCGUGAA